UCGUACGGGAGUUUUUAACUCAAGUGGCGGACGGGUGAGUAACACGUGAGAAUUUACCUUUAGGAGGGGGACAACAACCUGGAAACGGUUGCCUAAUACCCCAUAUGCUUUCGAGUGAAAUGAAUUUAUUCGCCUGAAGAGAAGCCUCGCCGCCUGAUUAGCUUGUUGGUAGGGUAAGAGCCUACCAAGGCGACGAUCAGUAUCUGGUUUGAGAGGACGAUCAGACACACUGGAACUGAGACACGGUCCAGACUCCUACGGGAGGCAGCAGUGGGGAAUUUUCCGCAAUGGGCGAAAGCCUGACGGAGCAAUACCGCGUGAGGGAAGACGGCCUAUGGGUUGUAAACCUCUUUUUUCAGGGAGGAAUUCAAUGACGUGUACCUGAAGAAUAAGCAUCGGCUAACUCCGUGCC
This 412-nucleotide ribosomal RNA is filed under the name uncultured bacterium. RNAcentral describes it as "bacterial SSU rRNA". It matches the Rfam family "Bacterial small subunit ribosomal RNA", at positions 62 to 509 of the family's 1533-position model. The record is from RNAcentral.